GCGCUCGUAGCUCAGCUGGAUAGAGUAACUGACUACGAAUCAGUUGGUCGUGCGUUCGAAUCGCACCGAGCGCA
This 74-nucleotide transfer RNA is filed under the name Elusimicrobiota bacterium. Its description in RNAcentral is "tRNA-Arg". It matches the Rfam family "tRNA". Rfam says of the family: Transfer RNA (tRNA) molecules are approximately 80 nucleotides in length. Their secondary structure includes four short double-helical elements and three loops (D, anti-codon, and T loops). The record is from RNAcentral. Lineage: Bacteria; Pseudomonadati; Elusimicrobiota.